This 69-nucleotide transfer RNA is filed under the name Ictidomys tridecemlineatus (thirteen-lined ground squirrel). RNAcentral describes it as "Spermophilus tridecemlineatus (thirteen-lined ground squirrel) tRNA". It matches the Rfam family "tRNA". From Rfam's summary of the family: Transfer RNA (tRNA) molecules are approximately 80 nucleotides in length. Their secondary structure includes four short double-helical elements and three loops (D, anti-codon, and T loops). Further hydrogen bonds mediate the characteristic L-shaped molecular structure. tRNAs have two regions of fundamental functional importance: the anti-codon, which is responsible for specific mRNA codon recognition, and the 3' end, to which the tRNAs corresponding amino acid is attached (by aminoacyl-tRNA synthetases). tRNAs cope with the degeneracy of the genetic code in two manners: having more than one tRNA (with a specific anti-codon) for a particular amino acid; and 'wobble' base-pairing, i.e. permitting non-standard base-pairing at the 3rd anti-codon position. Lineage: Eukaryota; Metazoa; Chordata; Mammalia; Rodentia; Sciuridae. The record is from Rfam by way of RNAcentral.
GGGGCUGUAGCUCAGUGGUAGAGAGCUUGCCUAGCAAGCGUGAGGCACUCGGUUCGAUCCUCAGCACCA